RNAcentral lists this ribosomal RNA (252 nucleotides) under uncultured bacterium. RNAcentral describes it as "partial 16S ribosomal RNA". It matches the Rfam family "Bacterial small subunit ribosomal RNA", at positions 524 to 776 of the family's 1533-position model. The record is from RNAcentral.
UACAGAGGGUGCAAACGUUGCUCGGAAUUAUUGGGCGUAAAGCGCGUGUAGGCGGCUCGUUAUGUCGGCUGUGAAAGCCCAUGGCUCAACCAUGGAAGUGCAGCCGAAACUGGCGAGCUUGAGUCCUGGAGAGGGUGGCGGAAUGCCCAGUGUAGAGGUGAAAUUCGUAGAUAUUGGGUAGAACACCGGUGGCGAAGGCGGCCACCUGGACAGCGACUGACGCUAGACGCGAAAGCGUGGGGAGCGAACAGG